UACAGAGGGUGCAAGCGUUGUUCGGAAUUAUUGGGCGUAAAGGGCGCGUAGGCGGUGCGGUAAGUCUGUAGUGAAAUCUCUGGGCUCAACUCAGAGUCUGCUGCAGAAACUGCCGUGCUUGAGUGUGGGAGAGGUGAGUGGAAUUCCCGGUGUAGCGGUGAAAUGCGUAGAUAUCAAGUGGAACACCAGUGGCGAAGGCGAGUCUCUGGACAUUUCCUGACGCUGAGGCACGAAAGCCAGGGGAGCAAACGGG
RNAcentral lists this ribosomal RNA (253 nucleotides) under uncultured bacterium. RNAcentral describes it as "partial 16S ribosomal RNA". It matches the Rfam family "Bacterial small subunit ribosomal RNA", at positions 524 to 776 of the family's 1533-position model. The record is from RNAcentral.